GAAGAAACCGAAGGGAAAGCUCAGCUGCAGCGGCGACUUUCAGUUUCAUUUCCACGGACCCUCCUGCCUGGGCCGCAGCCGCCGCCGCGAUGCCCAGUAAGUUCAGCUGCCGGCAGCUCCGGGAGGCGGGCCAGUGUUUCGAGAGUUUCCUGGUCGUUCGGGGACUGGACAUGGAGACAGAUCGCGAGCGGCUGCGGACCAUUUAUAACCGCGACUUCAAGAUCAGUCUUGCCUCCAGCAAAUCCAUCCUCCAAUCCUGAUGCCAGAGUGAUCUGAAAUGCAAAUAUGAUCUUGCCACUCCCCUGCUUAAAACCCACCAACCGCAGUGGUUCUGUAACCACAGUGUAGCCUCUGACGUGGGCUGAAAGCACAAAGCCAGGCUAUUUGAUCUCUGGAGAAGGAUCCUUUCCCUUCCUGCUUGGGUUCCACCUGCACCCUAUGACUUCGGGUGGAAACUGCUGUCUGAUCAGCCACCUUGCCCACACACUUGGACAUCUGUACUGUCUCUGAUCCCUUCUCUCCUCACCAACAGGCUGGACCCCACUGAUCCACCCCUCUGAAUCAAAUCAUUCCGCUUCCCCUUAGCCUCAGCUCUUUCUUCUGGGUUGUUUGUAUUUUCUUUUCUGUCCCAAACAGUUUCCCCCACAAAAAGAACUUUAUGUCUUUUUCUGUCUUCCCUCAGUCCUUCCAGUCAGCAGCCUGUGAUUGGGCUUUUCCCCUCAGAAACGAACAAUCCAGAACCCACUGUUAAAACAACUGUAUUUUGCCUUGGGAAGUCCCAUUGCCUUCCCUGAAAACAUUAAACAUUCCUCCGAUCCCCAGCCUGAGUCUCUCUGUCUCUGGGCCCCAUCCUGUUCCACAGCAGGGCUGGUGUGUCCAGCACAGAGUGACCCUCCAAUGCCCUUCCCCACCCGCCGCCCUGCCUCCCACGAGCCCUGCCUUCCCUCACUUCCCAGUCUCCUCUGCUUCUGGCAGCUUUGGGACCCCCGCCCCUGGCUUCUCCUCCAUGCUGUAUGGAAUGAAGAUUGCAAAUCUGGCCUACGUCACCAAGACUCGGGUCAGGUUCUUCAGACUCGACCGCUGGGCCGACGUGCGGUUCCCAGAAAAGAGGAGAAUGAAGCUGGGGUCAGAUAUCAGCAAACACCACAAGUCACUGCUAGCCAAGAUCUUUUAUGACAGGGCUGAGUAUCUUCAUGGGAAACAUGGUGUGGAUGUGGAAGUCCAGGGGCCCCAUGAAGCCCGAGAUGGGCAGCUCCUUAUCCGCCUGGAUUUGAACCGCAAAGAGGUGCUGACCCUGAGGCUUCGGAAUGGUGGAACCCAGUCUGUUACCCUCACUCACCUCUUCCCACUCUGCCGGACACCCCAGUUUGCUUUCUACAAUGAAUACCAGGAGUUGCCCUGUCCACUGGGCCCCGGUGAAUGCUAUGAACUCCAUGUCCAUUGUAAGACCAGCUUUGUGGGCUACUUCCCAGCCACAGUGCUCUGGGAGCUGCUGGGACCUGGGGAGUCAGGUUCAGAAGGAGCCGGCACAUUCUACAUUGCCCGCUUCUUGGCUGCCGUCGCCCACAGCCCCCUGGCUGCACAGCUGAAGCCCAUGACUCCCUUCAAGCGGACCCGGAUCACUGGAAACCCUGUGGUGACCAAUCGGAUAGAGGAAGGAGAGAGACCUGACCGCGCUAAGGGCUAUGACCUGGAGUUAAGUAUGGCGCUGGGGACAUACUACCCACCUCCGCGCCUCAGGCAGCUGCUCCCUAUGCUUCUUCAAGGAACAAGUAUCUUCACUGCCCCUAAGGAGAUCGCAGAGAUCAAGGCCCAGCUGGAGACAGCCCUGAAGUGGAGGAACUAUGAGGUGAAGCUGCGGCUGCUGCUGCACCUGGAGGAGCUGCAGAUGGAGCAUGAUAUCCGGCACUAUGACCUGGAGUCGGUGCCCAUGACCUGGGACCCUGUGGACCAGAACCCCAGGCUGCUCACCCUGGAGGUUCCUGGAGUGACUGAGAGCCGCCCCUCAGUGCUACGGGGCGACCACCUGUUUGCCCUUUUGUCCUCGGAGACACACCAGGAGGACCCCAUCACAUAUAAGGGCUUUGUGCACAAGGUGGAAUUGGACCGUGUCAAGCUGAGCUUUUCUAUGAGCCUCCUGAGCCGCUUUGUGGAUGGGCUGACCUUCAAGGUGAACUUUACCUUCAACCGCCAGCCGCUGCGAGUCCAGCACCGUGCCCUGGAGCUGACGGGGCGCUGGCUGCUGUGGCCCAUGCUCUUUCCUGUGGCACCUCGGGACGUCCCGCUGCUGCCCUCAGAUGUGAAACUCAAGCUGUACGACCGGAGUCUGGAGUCAAACCCAGAGCAGCUGCAGGCCAUGAGGCACAUUGUUAUGGGCACCACCCGUCCAGCCCCCUACAUCAUCUUUGGUCCUCCAGGCACCGGCAAGACCGUCACAUUAGUGGAGGCUAUUAAGCAGGUGGUGAAGCACUUGCCCAAAGCCCACAUCCUGGCCUGCGCUCCAUCCAACUCAGGGGCUGACCUCCUCUGUCAAAGGCUCCGGGUCCACCUUCCUAGCUCCAUCUACCGCCUCCUGGCCCCCAGCAGGGACAUCCGCAUGGUACCUGAGGACAUCAAGCCCUGCUGCAACUGGGACGCAAAGAAGGGGGAGUACGUAUUUCCCGCCAAGAAGAAGCUGCAGGAAUACCGAGUCUUAAUUACCACCCUCAUCACUGCUGGCAGGUUGGUCUCGGCCCAGUUUCCCAUUGAUCACUUCACACACAUCUUCAUCGAUGAGGCUGGCCACUGCAUGGAGCCUGAGAGUCUGGUAGCUAUAGCAGGGCUGAUGGAAGUAAAGGAAACAGGCGAUCCAGGGGGGCAGCUGGUGCUGGCAGGAGACCCUCGGCAGCUGGGGCCUGUACUGCGUUCCCCACUGACCCAGAAGCAUGGACUGGGAUACUCACUGCUGGAGCGGCUGCUCACCUACAACUCCCUGUACAAGAAGGGCCCUGAUGGCUAUGACCCCCAGUUCAUAACCAAGCUGCUCCGCAACUACAGGUCUCAUCCCACCAUCCUGGACAUUCCUAACCAGCUCUAUUACGAAGGGGAGCUGCAGGCCUGUGCUGAUGUCGUGGAUCGAGAACGCUUCUGCCGCUGGGCAGGCCUACCUCGACAGGGCUUUCCCAUCAUCUUUCACGGCGUAAUGGGCAAAGAUGAGCGUGAAGGCAACAGCCCAUCCUUCUUCAACCCUGAAGAGGCUGCCACAGUGACUUCUUACCUGAAGCUGCUCCUGGCCCCCUCCUCCAAGAAGGGCAAAGCCCGCCUGAGCCCUCGAAGCGUGGGAGUCAUCUCCCCGUACCGGAAACAGGUCAGGUCCUCAGUUACCAGCAAGGGUGGGGCCCCUCCCCGGAUGGUACCUCCUUAAUAUCCAGACCACUAGGCAGAGGCUCCGGGAGCUUAGGCCUCUGCUGGCUCCAUAUCUCAGAAGAGCACCGAGGUCAGCUGCCGCCUCCCUUUGUUCCCCAGCUCCCUGGCCUCCUGCCAGGCUCCCUCUUGCAUUAGGUUAAUGGCACGAGAGAAAGGCACCUGUCCCCUCCUUCCAGGUGGAGAAAAUCCGUUACUGCAUCACCAAACUUGACAGGGAGCUUCGAGGACUGGAUGACAUCAAGGACUUGAAGGUGGGUUCAGUGGAAGAAUUCCAAGGCCAAGAACGAAGCGUCAUCCUCAUCUCCACCGUGCGAAGCAGUCAGAGCUUUGUGCAGCUGGAUCUGGACUUUAAUCUGGGUUUCCUUAAGAACCCCAAGAGGUUCAAUGUAGCUGUGACCCGGGCCAAGGCCCUGCUCAUCAUCGUGGGGAACCCCCUUCUCCUGGGCCAUGACCCUGACUGGAAAGUAUUCCUGGAGUUCUGUAAAGAAAACGGAGGGUAUACCGGGUGUCCCUUCCCUGCCAAACUGGACCUGCAACAGGGACAGAAUUUACUGCAAGGUCUGAGCAAGCUCAGCCCCUCUACCUCAGGGCCCCAUAGUCAUGACUACCUCCCCCAGGAGCGGGAGGGUGAAGGGGGCCUGUCUCUGCAAGUGGAGCCAGAGUGGAGGAAUGAGCUCUGAAGACACAGCACCCAGCCUUCUCGCACCAGCCAAGCCUUAACUGCCUGCGUGACCCUGAACCAGAACCCAGCUGAGCCGCCCCUCCAAGGGACAGGAAGGCUGGGGGAGGGAGUUUACAACCCAAGCCAUUCCACCCCCUCCCCUGCUGGGGAGAAUGACACAUCAAGCUGCUAACAAUUGGGGGAAAGGGGAGGAAGAAAACUCUGAAAACAAAAUCUUGUUCUAUG
RNAcentral lists this small RNA (4312 nucleotides) under Pongo abelii (Sumatran orangutan). Its description in RNAcentral is "processed transcript". Lineage: Eukaryota; Metazoa; Chordata; Mammalia; Primates; Hominidae. The record is from RNAcentral.